Lactuca sativa (garden lettuce) is the source of this 805-nucleotide long non-coding RNA. RefSeq lists it as uncharacterized. The record is from RefSeq and is a predicted model, not a curated record. NCBI's taxonomy places the organism in Eukaryota, Viridiplantae, Streptophyta, Magnoliopsida, Asterales, Asteraceae.
UAAAAUCAUCAUCGACUAUCACGACUAAGAAAUGGAAAUAUAUAAAGGACCAAAUUGACAAUAAAGUUUAAAAAGAGUGGUGAAAUAGGUGAAACGAAAGUCAUUGGGGGUAAAACUUCAAAACAUAAAAUGUUUAUGGGCUAAUUGUGCAGUAAUAAAAAACUAAUACUGGCGUUGGUCGAUAACCUAACGCCCGGAAACCCUUCGCAGCCUGCUGUUCACUUUCUCCGACACAGUAAUGAUGGCGGACGUAGUACAAUACAAGCUCGAGCGCAUGGUGAAUGAUAUCGAAGACCUUGAGCGCCAUGGCUUGUGCACUGGAAUUGCCGAUUUGGUCAAACAACGCCGGAAGUCCCCUGAAGCAUGAUUACUUAGCGUACAUCGACUACCAGAAGUCUCUCGAUGCGCUCCUUCUCAUCCAUAAGAAAGGGAUUUACCGGAGAGAUCUUCAACAACUUUGAACAUAUGGUUGUAAACAUUCAUAGCAAUUCUUAAACCUUGGAGAUUUUUUCAAGCUUGCUAAAUUUGGUCUAUUCAUGAAUGCAACAGCUAGUGAUAAAGCUCUGGGGAAUGUAGAGGUGUUCGUGUUCUAUGGUGGAGUUAUUGGAGUGAUAUGUUCUUCAUAUCACUUAUAAAACUUAGCUUCAUAAUCAUAACAUGUUUUUUUUAAUGCAUUUAGCUCAUAAUUUUUGUUAAAUGCAAGGAUGUAAGGAGACUCGAUCAUAUGUAUGCUCCAACUAUCUGUCAAGAAUCAGCCUCCAAUUCCUAUUACAAUAUUGAAAUAAAGGAUGCAUAUAUUCCUCAA